UGCACAAAGGCAUGGUCCUGACCUUAUUAUUAGCUUUAACCCAACUUACACAUGCAAGUCUCCGCAGCCCCGUGAGUAUGCCCUUAAUCCCCUGCCCGGGGACGAGGAGCGGGCAUCAGGCACAAAUUUUUAGCCCAAGACGCCUGGCCAAGCCACACCCCCAAGGGAAUUCAGCAGUGAUAAAUAUUAAGCCAUAAGUGAAAACUUGACUCAGUCAGGGUUAAAAGGGCCGGUAAAACUCGUGCCAGCCACCGCGGUUAAACGAGAGGCCCCAGUUAAUAAUACACGGCGUAAAGGGUGGUUAAGGAAAGCAUGGUAAUAAAGCCGAAUGGCCCUUUGGCUGUCAUACGCUUCUAGGUGUCCGAAGCCCAAAAUACGAAAGUAACUUUAGUAAAACCCACCUGACCCCACGAAAGCUGAGAAACAAACUGGGAUUAGAUACCCCACUAUGCUCAGCCGUAAACCCAGACGUCCAGCUACAAUUAGACGUCCGCCCGGGUACUACGAGCAUUAGCUUGAAACCCAAAGGACCUGACGGUGCCUUAGACCCCCCUAGAGGAGCCUGUUCUAGAACCGAUAACCCUCGUUAAACCUCACCACUUCUAGCCACCCCAGCCUAUAUACCGCCGUCGUCAGCUUACCCUGUGAAGGAAAUAAAAGUAAGCAAGAUGGGCACAGCCCAGAACGUCAGGUCGAGGUGUAGCGUACGAAGCGGGAAGAAAUGGGCUACAUUUUCUACAAUAGAACACUACGGACAUGCAACAUGAAAUAGUGCUUGAAGGAGGAUUUAGUAGUAAAAAGGAAGCAGAGUGUCCUUUUGAACCCGGCUCUGAGGCGCGUACACACCGCCCGUCACUCUCCCCUGUCAAAAUGCAGUAAAGUUACCUAACACUAAAGCACUGACAAGGGGAGGCAAGUCGUAACAUGGUAAGUGUACCGGAAGGUGCACUUGGAUUAAAUUCAGGGCGUGGCUGAGUUAGUUAAGCAUCUCACUUACACCGAGAAGACAUCCAUGCAAAUUGGAUCACCCUGAGCCAACCAGCUAGCUUGAUUAUUAAUAUAAUUUAACAAUAUUCAUAACAAAACAUGGCUUAACAUUACAAACUAAACCAUUUUUUUGCCUAAGUACGGGAGACGGAAAAGGU
Molecule: non-coding RNA, 1145 nt
Filed under: Notemigonus crysoleucas (golden shiner)
Lineage: Eukaryota; Metazoa; Chordata; Actinopteri; Cypriniformes; Leuciscidae
Description: partial small subunit ribosomal RNA
Rfam family: Bacterial small subunit ribosomal RNA (bases 1-965)
Source: RNAcentral